AUUGAACGCUGGCGGCAGGCCUUACACAUGCAAGUCGAACGAGUGGCGGACGGGUGAGUAAUGUAUGGGAAACUGCCUGAUGGAGGGGGAUCACUACUGGGAACGGUAGCUAAUACCGCAUACCAUCGGAUGUGCCCAGAUGGGAUUAGCUAGUAGGUGGGGUAUAGGCUCACCAAGGCGACGAUCCCUAGCUGGUCUGAGAGGAUGACCAGCCACACUGGAACUGAGACACGGUCCAGACUCCUACGGGAGGCAGCAGUGGGGAAGAUUGCACAAUGGGCGAAAGCCUGAUGCAGCCAUGCCGCGUGUAUGAAGAAGGCCUUCGGGUUGUAAAGCACUUUCAGCGAGGAGGCGUUACUCGCAGAAGAAGCACCGGCUAACUCCGUGCCAGCCGCCGCGGUAAUUC
RNAcentral lists this ribosomal RNA (406 nucleotides) under uncultured bacterium. RNAcentral's name for it is "partial 16S ribosomal RNA". It matches the Rfam family "Bacterial small subunit ribosomal RNA", at positions 30 to 526 of the family's 1533-position model. The record is from RNAcentral.